Molecule: ribosomal RNA, 541 nt
Filed under: uncultured bacterium
Lineage: Bacteria
Description: bacterial SSU rRNA
Rfam family: Bacterial small subunit ribosomal RNA
Source: RNAcentral
UGAGGAAUAUUGGACAAUGGUCGGAAGACUGAUCCAGCCAUGCCGCGUGCAGGAAGACGGCCUUAUGGGUUGUAAACUGCUUUUGCAGGGGAAGAAUAAGGACUACGUGUAGUUUGAUGACGGUACUCUGCGAAUAAGCAUCGGCUAACUCCGUGCCAGCAGCCGCGGUAAUACGGAGGAUGCGAGCGUUAUCCGGAAUCAUUGGGUUUAAAGGGUCCGUAGGCGGGCUAAUAAGUCAGAGGUGAAAGCGCUCAGCUCAACUGAGCAACUGCCUUUGAAACUGUUAGUCUUGAAUGGUUGUGAAGUAGUUGGAAUGUGUAGUGUAGCGGUGAAAUGCUUAGAUAUUACACAGAACACCGAUAGCGAAGGCAUAUUACUAACAAUUAAUUGACGCUGAUGGACGAAAGCGUGGGGAGCGAACAGGAUUAGAUACCCUGGUAGUCCACGCUGUAAACGAUGGAUACUAGCUGUUUGGUUGCAAGACUGAGUGGCUAAGCGAAAGUGAUAAGUAUCCCACCUGGGGAGUACGCACGCAAGUGUG